AAAUUGAAGAGUUUGAUCAUGGCUCAGAUUGAACGCUGGCGGCAGGCCUAACACAUGCAAGUCGAACGGUAGCACAGAGAGCUUGCUCUCGGGUGACGAGUGGCGGACGGGUGAGUAAUGUCUGGGAAACUGCCUGAUGGAGGGGGAUAA
This 150-nucleotide ribosomal RNA is filed under the name Salmonella enterica subsp. enterica serovar Infantis. RNAcentral describes it as "partial 16S ribosomal RNA". It matches the Rfam family "Bacterial small subunit ribosomal RNA", at positions 1 to 146 of the family's 1533-position model. RNAcentral also lists the same sequence under 5 other names. The record is from RNAcentral. Lineage: Bacteria; Pseudomonadati; Pseudomonadota; Gammaproteobacteria; Enterobacterales; Enterobacteriaceae.